Molecule: ribosomal RNA, 492 nt
Filed under: uncultured bacterium
Lineage: Bacteria
Description: partial 16S ribosomal RNA
Rfam family: Bacterial small subunit ribosomal RNA
Source: RNAcentral
GAUGAACGCUAGCUACAGGCUUAACACAUGCAAGUCGAGGGGAAACGGCAUUGAGUGCUUGCACUCUUUGGACGUCGACCGGCGCACGGGUGAGUAACGCGUAUCCAACCUUCCCAUUACUGUGGGAUAACCUGCCGAAAGGCAGACUAAUACCGCAUAGUCUUCGAUGACGGCAUCAGAUUUGAAGUAAAGAUUUAUCGGUAAUGGAUGGGGAUGCGUCUGAUUAGCUUGUUGGCGGGGUAACGGCCCACCAAGGCUACGAUCAGUAGGGGUUCUGAGAGGAAGGUCCCCAACAUUGGAACUGAGACACGGUCCAAACUCCUACGGGAGGCAGCAGUGAGGAAUAUUGGUCAAUGGACGGAAGUCUGAACCAGCCAAGUAGCGUGCAGGAUGACGGCCCUAUGGGUUGUAAACUGCUUUUGGAUGGGGAUAAAGUUAGGGACGUGUCCCUAUUUGCAGGUACCAUACGAAUAAGGACCGGCUAAUUCCGUG